CACAGUAUAUACAGUAUUAAAUUAAACUUUUUUUAUUUUAAAAGAUCAAACUGGAUUUUUGGCAUGUGUCAAAUUUCUGAACAUCAGUUGUGUGUAUAAGCUGACAGUCUGUCAGAGUCCUCAACUCUGUCAGCAUCUAAUCUGAUGCCAUUUUGAUUUAAAACCACAUCUUUUGAAUAUCCCCUCUCUGUUUCCACUCAUUUACUUUUCCGUUUCUAGAAACACUCCAGUAAAUGUUUGGAUGUUAAUCUUAUACACAUGCACACACACGGCAGUGAUUCGUUUUCUUUUUUGUUUUUUGGGGGGUUUUUUGCAUCAAGAGCACAAACACUAACGCUUAACCCGUGGGGAUAUUCUUAGCAGCUUUUGUACACCUUUUCGUCACAAGUAGUGCAAUUAUACGCUGUAGCUCAAGAGGGUUGUGCAUUUUAUUAUGUCCAUUUACUCUGAUUUUAAGGUGCAUAACAAAGUUUGUUUUUAUUCUCUUUCUUAAUUAAGUCUUGCAGCAGGUGCCUCUUUCUAAGCCGUAACAAGUCCUUAGUUGCCAUCCGUCCACUCACUGUGUUCUUUUGCAGUCAGCUGUGGCUGGAAAUGUAAUCGUACUGAAACUAAAUCUAAUGUUGUCAGAUCAACAUCACGUACAAGUCCCAUCGAGUUUGAUGACUUACAGUGUAAGUGCAAGUGAAACUAACAUAGUGUUGGUUGUGUUUUAUUGUUAGGGUUGAAGUCAUCGUAAGCUGAAGUCACAUGAACAUUUCAGGGAAAGAAAAAGAGCAAAUGAACCAUAAUCAUGCUUUUGUUUUUUGUUUUUUUCCACACACUGUGCUUUGCUUCAUUCUGUCUGUGCGGCUCCUGGAUCUACAUUGUAUCCUGUUCAGAUUCUACCAAGCUAGCACAGCUGAAACCAAUGAACUGAGUGAGCAGUCAGAGACGAAAAGAAAAACCUGCGACUACAUUUCCUCUGGAUGGUCCUUAAGCUUCAUAUAAGAGUGAAAGCAGCAGUUCCUCCUUAAGGUCAGAGAUUGCAGCAUCUGAGGGCCUCUUCAAAAGAAGACGUAGUUGAUGAAGGCGUUCUGGAGCAGGACCAGAAAGACCAUGACCAAGCAGCCUUGAGAUCUUAGGCAGCGUCUCCCUCGGGUCCCUCUCUAUCUCCCCACACAUCCACCAACCACUGGAACACAUCUCCAAAGUUCUGCCGGGCCAGCUCAGCUUCCCCUCAGAAGAAGUGCCGCCACCUGCCAGAUGAAGGAGCCUUUUGAGAGGCAGCUGGCAUCGUGAUUGGACUGUACUUUGGUCUGUUCCAAUCCAGCUUCAGCUCCAGAGACGGCAGGCGGGACGAGUCAACGGGGCCUGGUGGACGAAGGCAUGCAGCUGAGUACAAUCCAGAAACCAACAGAGGAGGAUUGCAGUGGCUCAGGACCAGAACAAACAGAGUAGCAUCAUAUGUCUCUUAGAAAACAUCAUAGUAUAGCCUUUGGUAUGAAAAAACGCCAUCAUAUACAUCGUAUAUUGUACAAAUAACAAGUCAAAGGAAAGAGACAUACAUUGUAGAAUUGUAGUAAUUGUGGGCUGACUGAUUUACUG
This is a long non-coding RNA of Amphiprion ocellaris (clown anemonefish), 1584 nucleotides long. Lineage: Eukaryota; Metazoa; Chordata; Actinopteri; Pomacentridae. The record is from Ensembl.